This 496-nucleotide ribosomal RNA is filed under the name uncultured bacterium. RNAcentral's name for it is "partial 16S ribosomal RNA". It matches the Rfam family "Bacterial small subunit ribosomal RNA", at positions 29 to 507 of the family's 1533-position model. The record is from RNAcentral.
AUGAACGCUGGCGGCGUGCCUAAUACAUGCAAGUCGAGCGAACAGACGAGGAGCUUGCUCCUCUGACGUUAGCGGCGGACGGGUGAGUAACACGUGGAUAACCUACCUAUAAGACUGGGAUAACUUCGGGAAACCGGAGCUAAUACCGGAUAAUAUAUUGAACCGCAUGGUUCAAUAGUGAAAGACGGUUUUGCUGUCACUUAUAGAUGGAUCCGCGCCGCAUUAGCUAGUUGGUAAGGUAACGGCUUACCAAGGCAACGAUGCGUAGCCGACCUGAGAGGGUGAUCGGCCACACUGGAACUGAGACACGGUCCAGACUCCUACGGGAGGCAGCAGUAGGGAAUCUUCCGCAAAGGGCGAAAGCUUGACGGGGCAACGCCGCGUGAGUGAUGAAGGUCUUCGGAUCGUAAAACUCUGUUAUUAGGGAAGAACAAAUGUGUAAGUAACUAUGCACGUCUUGACGGUACCUAAUCAGAAAGCCACGGCUAACUACGUG